AAUCAACGCUGGCGGCGUGCCUCAGACAUGCAAGUCGAACGCGAAAUUUCCCUUCGGGGAGAAAGUAGAGUGGCGCACGGGUGAGUAACACGUAGGUAAUUUGCCUUUGGGUGGGGAAUAACUCAGGGAAACUUGAGCUAAUACCGCAUAAUGCAGCGGCUCGACAUCGAGACAGUUGUUAAAGCGGGGGAUUGGAGCAAUCCGACCUCGCGCCUAAAGAGAAGCCUGCGGCAGAUUAGCUAGUUGGUAAGGUAAUGGCUUACCAAGGCGACGAUCUGUAACCGGCCUGAGAGGGCGGUCGGUCGCACCUGACACUGGACAUACGGGUCAGACUCCUACGGGAGCAGCAGUCGGGAAUUUUGGGCAAUGGGCGCAAGCCUGACCCAGCAACGCCGCGUGAAGGAUG
This 406-nucleotide ribosomal RNA is filed under the name uncultured bacterium. RNAcentral's name for it is "bacterial SSU rRNA". It matches the Rfam family "Bacterial small subunit ribosomal RNA", at positions 32 to 410 of the family's 1533-position model. The record is from RNAcentral.